AGAGUUUGAUUCUGGCUCAGGAUGAACGCUGGCGGCGUGCUUAACACAUGCAAGUCGAGCGAAGCAUUUUGGAUGAAGUUUUCGAAUGGAUUCUGGAAUGACUGAGCGGCGGACGGGUGAGUAACGCGUGGAUAACCUGCCUCAUACAGGGGGAUAACAGUUAGAAAUGACUGCUAAUACCGCAUAAGCGCACAGGGCCGCAUGGUCUGGUGUGAAAAACUCCGGUGGUAUGAGAUGGGUCCGCGUUGGAUUAGGCAGUUGGCGGGGUAACGGCCCACCAAACCGACGAUCCAUAGCCGGCCUGAGAGGGUGGACGGCCACAUUGGGACUGAGACACGGCCCAAACUCCUACGGGAGGCAGCAGUGGGGAAUAUUGCACAAUGGGGGAAACCCUGAUGCAGCGACGCCGCGUGAGUGAAGAAGUAUUUCGGUAUGUAAAGCUCUAUCAGCAGGGAAGAAAAUGACGGUACCUGACUAAGAAGCCCCGGCUAACUACGUGCCAGCAGCCGCGGUAAUACGUAGGGGGCAAGCGUUAUCCGGAUUUACUGGGUGUAAAGGGAGCGUAGACGGCUGUGCAAGUCUGAUGUGAAAGGCAGGGGCUCAACUCCUGGACUGCAUUGGAAACUGUGUAGCUUGAGUGCCGGAGAGGUAAGCGGAAUUCCUAGUGUAGCGGUGAAAUGCGUAGAUAUUAGGAGGAACACCAGUGGCGAAGGCGGCUUACUGGACGGUAACUGACGUUGAGGCUCGAAAGCGUGGGGAGCAAACAGGAUUAGAUACCCUGGUAGUCCACGCCGUAAACGA
Molecule: ribosomal RNA, 801 nt
Filed under: uncultured bacterium
Lineage: Bacteria
Description: bacterial SSU rRNA
Rfam family: Bacterial small subunit ribosomal RNA
Source: RNAcentral